AGGCCAGUAGCUCCAAUUGGUAGAGCGGCGGUCUCCAAAACCGUUGGUUGGGGGUUCGAGUCCUCCCUGGCCUG
RNAcentral lists this transfer RNA (74 nucleotides) under Hippea maritima DSM 10411. It matches the Rfam family "tRNA". From Rfam's summary of the family: Transfer RNA (tRNA) molecules are approximately 80 nucleotides in length. Their secondary structure includes four short double-helical elements and three loops (D, anti-codon, and T loops). Further hydrogen bonds mediate the characteristic L-shaped molecular structure. tRNAs have two regions of fundamental functional importance: the anti-codon, which is responsible for specific mRNA codon recognition, and the 3' end, to which the tRNAs corresponding amino acid is attached (by aminoacyl-tRNA synthetases). tRNAs cope with the degeneracy of the genetic code in two manners: having more than one tRNA (with a specific anti-codon) for a particular amino acid; and 'wobble' base-pairing, i.e. permitting non-standard base-pairing at the 3rd anti-codon position. Lineage: Bacteria; Pseudomonadati; Campylobacterota; Desulfurellia; Desulfurellales; Hippeaceae. The record is from Rfam by way of RNAcentral.